This is a long non-coding RNA of Solanum verrucosum, 333 nucleotides long. RefSeq lists it as uncharacterized. NCBI's taxonomy places the organism in Eukaryota, Viridiplantae, Streptophyta, Magnoliopsida, Solanales, Solanaceae. The transcript is spliced from 3 exons. The record is from RefSeq and is a predicted model, not a curated record.
GUAGGAUCACAACGGUAUGUAUAUUCUCCUGGAGCUGGAUCAUAUUCGUUCUUCCAUGAGGACAGGUUUAGUAUCAUUUGCGUCUCGUUCAACAACUGUGCAAAAGGCCUCGAUGAAUUAGUAGACCACACGAUUGUAUUAGCAGCAGUGAGAAGAGCAAGUCGUCCUGUAUCGAUGAUUUUCAACAUAACACCUGACGUGUUGUUGAAUGGAUUUUCUCUAUUGGCUACCACAGACUUAUAAGUGACUGCCUGAUGUUUGAUCGUGUAAACUCGGAGAAUGGGAACAACAUAACUGAUACUCUGUAAAUAAUGGAGUACUAUGGGACUGGAG